GGCUCCAUGGUCAAGUGGCUAAGACGUCGCGUUCUCAGCGCGGAAUCAUGGGUUCGAUCCCCAUUGGAGCUACUA
This 75-nucleotide transfer RNA is filed under the name Oenococcus kitaharae. Its description in RNAcentral is "tRNA-Glu". It matches the Rfam family "tRNA". From Rfam's summary of the family: Transfer RNA (tRNA) molecules are approximately 80 nucleotides in length. Their secondary structure includes four short double-helical elements and three loops (D, anti-codon, and T loops). Further hydrogen bonds mediate the characteristic L-shaped molecular structure. tRNAs have two regions of fundamental functional importance: the anti-codon, which is responsible for specific mRNA codon recognition, and the 3' end, to which the tRNAs corresponding amino acid is attached (by aminoacyl-tRNA synthetases). tRNAs cope with the degeneracy of the genetic code in two manners: having more than one tRNA (with a specific anti-codon) for a particular amino acid; and 'wobble' base-pairing, i.e. permitting non-standard base-pairing at the 3rd anti-codon position. Lineage: Bacteria; Bacillati; Bacillota; Bacilli; Lactobacillales; Lactobacillaceae. The record is from RNAcentral. RNAcentral also lists the same sequence under 1 other name.